AGCGAACGCUGGCGGCAGGCCUAACACAUGCAAGUCGAACGAACCUUUCGGGGCUAGUGGCGGACGGGUGCGUAACACGUGGGAACGUGCCUUUAGGUUCGGAAUAACUCAGGGAAACUUGUGCUAAUACCGAAUGUGCCCUUCGGGGGAAAGAUUUAUCGCCUUUAGAUCGGCCCGCGUCUGAUUAGCUAGUUGGUUGGGGUAAUGGCUCACCAAGGCGACGAUCAGUAGCUGGUCUGAGAGGAUGAUCAGCCACAUUGGGACUGAGACACGGCCCAAACUCCUACGGGAGGCAGCAGUGGGGAAUCUUGCGCAAUGGGCGAAAGCCUGACGCAGCCAUGCCGCGUGAAUGAUGAAGGUCUUAGGAUUGUAAAAUUCUUUCACCGGGGACGAUAAUGACGGUACCCGGAGAAGAAGCCCCGGCUAACUUCGUG
Molecule: ribosomal RNA, 434 nt
Filed under: uncultured bacterium
Lineage: Bacteria
Description: partial 16S ribosomal RNA
Rfam family: Bacterial small subunit ribosomal RNA
Source: RNAcentral